UUUUCUAGAGAAUAGUCAUUUCCUCCAGCCUCCUUCUCUUCAGGCCACACCCCUUUCCCCCUGGCCUCUGGAACUCCAGGGCACUUCACCAGGCCUGAGACAACUGUGAGCAAGAGAGGCUGAGCCAGGAGCUGAGAAUCUACAGUGUUCUCUUCCCUCUGCUUGUCUUUCUCUUCUCCAGUGAUCUCUGGGCUUUCUGGACUGAGCUUAGUACUAGAAACAGACAGAGCAGAUGCAGAUCCACCUGUCCAGAACAAGUGAAAGGCAUAGCCAUGAGCAGUGUAGCAUACACUAUGCUCGAGAGGACAUCAAGGAACAUCAGAGACAGAGGCCAGCAUCAGUUGCACAAGACAUGGCUUUAUGAAUCCUAGACCAGCAGUGGAUGUCUUAUUGCUUGCCAACUUGUGUCCCAUGAGGCUCUACAACCUGGCAAGGAAUUAGUCACAACUCCAUGGAAGGAAGGUGCUGCCACCAAGAGCUGAUCAUCAUGAAAUGAGGUCACAGCAUGGUUGCUCACCCCAGGUCAGUCUGCCUUUGAUUUCUACCAUUGCUUUUCAUCAUUGGAGUGAC
Molecule: long non-coding RNA, 570 nt
Filed under: Cricetulus griseus (Chinese hamster)
Lineage: Eukaryota; Metazoa; Chordata; Mammalia; Rodentia; Cricetidae
Description: lncRNA (ENSCGRG00000026597.1)
Source: RNAcentral